UGCCGCGUGAGUGAAGAGGGCCCGGGUUGGAAAGCUCUUUUUCUCAAUAGAAAAUGACUGUACCCGAAUAAGACUGUCCGGCUAACUUCAUGCCAGCACCCUCGGUUAUACGAAGGGACCUACCGUAAUUCGGAAUUACCGGGCUUAAACAGUACUUAGGGGGUUUAAAAAGUUCGUGGUGAAAUCCCUAAGCUUAACUCUAGAACUGCCAUCUAAACUUUUCAACUGCAGUUUGUACUAGGAAACUCGAGUUACUAUGGUAUAGGUGAAAUUUGUAGAGUUACGAAAGAAUACCAUUUGCUAACGCAGCUUUCUGGAUCAUUACUGAGAUGAUGAACGAAAACUGGCGCUGAUAAAGAAUUAGAUACCCUCGUACUCCAUGCCGAUACACUAUGUGUGUUAGACGUUGGAGAUUUAUUUUCAGCGGCUCGGACUAAGCGAUAAACUGUCCGCCUGGGGAGUACGACCGCCA
This 472-nucleotide ribosomal RNA is filed under the name uncultured bacterium. RNAcentral's name for it is "bacterial SSU rRNA". It matches the Rfam family "Bacterial small subunit ribosomal RNA", at positions 395 to 891 of the family's 1533-position model. The record is from RNAcentral.